GAUGAAGAACGCAGCGAAAUGCGAUAAGUAAUGUGAAUUGCAGAAUUCCGUGAAUCAUCGAAUCUUUGAACGCAUAUUGCGCCCUCUGGUAUUCCGGGGGGCAUGCCUGUCCGAGCGUCAUUUCAAAUCCUCAAGCCCGGCUUGUGUUGGGGACCUGCGGCUGCCGCAGGCCCUGAAAACCAGUGGCGGGCUCGCUAGUCACUCCGAGCGUAGUAAUACAUCUCGCUCAGGGCGUGCUGCGGGUUCCGGCCGUUAAAAAGCCUUAUUUACCCAAGGUUGACCUCGGAUCAGGUAGGAAGACCCGCUGAACUUAAGCAUAUCAAUAAGCGGAGGA
Molecule: unclassified non-coding RNA, 334 nt
Filed under: soil metagenome
Description: partial contains 5.8S ribosomal RNA, internal transcribed spacer 2, and large subunit ribosomal RNA
Rfam family: 5.8S ribosomal RNA (bases 1-120)
Source: RNAcentral